CAAGCCCUUGGGACUUUGUUAUGUGGUAUCUGAAGAGAUUAUAUAAACACCCACCGUGGUACUGGGCAGAUGCCUAUCUCAGCUGGAAGUGUGAAUCUCAGGAGCAUCUUGAGAAUUUUACUUCAUGGGGCAGAGUAGCCAACCCCCCCAGAGGUUCUCACACUCCACUCCCCCAGCUCAGAAUCUCCAUAAAUAUUGCCUUGCCAGGCCUAGUCCCCAAGUGUAUUCAUGCCUAUCUGUUCAGUUUCACAACCCUCUUCAGCUGGUCAUGUAAGCCACCAGGCUCAAGGGAAAAUGAGUUGCAUUUCACUCUAUACCUCUGACAUAAUCCUUCUGGGUACAGUCUUCUCUGUGCCUAUUUCAAUUGCAUUCUGCUAGGUGCACUGUAGGCCACAUGGUACGUAUUUGCUGGGACAGUAUGGCAGUGUUUGCUAUGAUUCCCCAGGUUCCUGUAGCAGCAUGCUGCAAUAUGAUUUCCUCAAUGGCUUCUUGCCUCAUCUCUCCACAUGCCAGUUGAGAAACACAGAGCACUUUUCAGAUACCAGGUCACUGUGCAGCCUCUGGAUCAGAUAACUACAGACUGCUUUUUCUGUUCUAUGGGUUUUUGUGUGCCAAAUUUGCCCAUUGUGUUUUUUUCUGUGUUUGUUAGUCCUCCUCCCUGUGGUGAACUGGCACUGCUGCUGCUACUGCAAACAGCUUGGUUCCAAUGUAUUCGUUCUUGUCCUUUGUUCAAUAUGCCUGAAUUUCUGAGUCUAAGAAACUCUGACUGUUCAAUAUUAAAUUUCAGUGAAUUCCUUCCUUCUCUCACCCACCUUGCUGAGAAGCAGUACUCCUGCUGUUUGAAUCCUGAGCCAUGGAACAACUGGAAAUGCAGCCUUCCUUUAAUCUGACAUCUGAAUCAGUUCAGCUUCUUUUGAGAAUGAUUACCUCUUCAAUUAGGAGGGGCUUCCAAAGAAGCCACCCAACUCACAUGACCCUCCACAAACCUAAAUAGGAAUCACAAUAGAAAAAGUAAUCACAUCUGCCCCUGAAGGCAAAACAGAUACACAGUGUCAGGGUUGCCAUCAGGAAUAAAACUUGAGGAAGGCCCUUCCCAAUGCACAAGGUCCUAUUGGGUGCAUGUACACACGUGAGCAGUUCUUCAGGCUACCAGAUUCUGCUCCCGGCUUAAAAGCUUCCCUCGAGCAAAACAUCCUGCUGCCACACAGACAUUACACCCACUAGGUUCCAGAGAAAACUCCCAACAGGAGAGUCCUCCCCACAUUCUCAGCACUGGGAGAGAGGCCCUGAUGUGCCAGGUUAACAAUGACACUACUUCAGCCUGUCGGCCCUUGUCAUUUGCAUAUGGAGUAUCCCCACUAAGGCCCAUACAUUAAAGGCUGUGGUGCCUUUACCACCCAUGGAGGUGGUAAAACCUUACGAGGUGGGGCCUAGUGGGAGAAAGGUAGGUCAUCAGGAGUGUUUCCUUUGAGGGGAUAUUGGGAUCCCAGCCCUUUCUCCUCUUUUUCCCUCCUGGAUGAGGUGGGCUGUUUCCUCCAUGAUACAUUCCCACCAUCUUGUUCUGCCUCAUUAUAGGUACAAAAGCAAAAGAACCAGACUGAAUCUUUCAAACCAUGAGUCAAAUAAACCUUUUGUCCUUAGAAAUUUCUUAUUUCAGGUUUUUUUUGUCACUGUGAUUGACACAGUGUUCCUUAACCCCUCAUAUCUCUGGACCAUUCCACUGAGCUUUGGAGGAGACAGGCCAGAGCCCAACCCCUUUGCACAGUCAGGGUGGUUUUUUGCCCCUCAAACUCUAAGCAGCCACAACAGUUGCUGUGACAUGAGCUCCAAGCUUGUGGUAUGUAUGUGUGCCUUUUCAGGUCUUGUUAAAUUCCUAGAAGCCAAGCUGAGGCAAGAGAAGAGGGAGGGCAGUGAUCAUCAAGGGCCAGAGGACCAGCCUCCACUCCUCUUUCUCUCAGGAUCAGAACCACCAAACCAUUCUGUCACUUCCACUGCUCUUGUGGUGACCAUUUUUUGGUGUGAAGAUACACUUGAUUCCUUUUGUAGAUCACAUUUCAGACUAACUGGAGUGAGGGUUUGUGGGAAUGGGGUCAGAUCAUAAGAAUCAAGGAGGAGCCAGUGAGGAAGAAGACAUCUGAGUACCCUAGUGAAGGUGUCAAUGGAAAACUCACUGAACCUCAGUCAACUGCUUCCCUUUGAACUGGCCCUAGAAUGACCCCAGCAUGGACUCAAACACCAUGGCCUCCUGAUUCUGAGAAGUGCCUUCAAGGAAAUGUCUACUUGAGUACAAUCACAGUAGCAGCUGUAGUAAAUGUGACUGGACCACAUGUGGAAUUGGGACCCUACCACCAGAUGGGCAGAAGCAGUAUUUGGCUGAAUAAAAACAAUGAUAAGGGCUGGGGUUGUGGCUCAGCGGUAGAGUGCUUGCCCAGCAUGCACGGGGCACUGGGUUCGAUCCUCAGCAACAGAGAUGUAAAAUGAGGAUAUUGUGUCCACCUAAAAAUAAAAAAUUUUAAAAAAAGACAAAGAAUGAUAACAUGAAAUGCUCCCAAGGAGCAUCAGUGACUUCCCAACAAGGAUAUGGGAGCUAAAUCCUGAGGCCACAGGAGGAGCUGUGCUGGGGGCCAGACCAAGUUCUCUGAAGGUAGCAUAAAAGACAAAGGGGCCUCUCAAAGGAACACACCCUACACCUGGGACUACUGCCCCACCUUUACUAACCCACCCAAGACCUAGUGGAAACCAGAAGAGUCAAUGCUGGUAGCCACUCAAGUGUGGUAAAACCAGAACUAGAUGUCACUUAAGAAUUAAAAGAAAGUACAAAUGUAAUGACAAUAUUUAUUAUAAGGGAAAUGAUGGCUGGGGUGGACACAUCUCCUCCCAUGUGAAUCAUACAGUCCUUUGAUUGAGGCCAACAUAUACAUUGUAGGCAUAGGGGAUGGAAUCCCAAAAAAGCUAUGUUAAUUAUACUUUUUCAGCCAUUAAGAAAUGGGGAGGGGGCAGCUGGG
This 3005-nucleotide long non-coding RNA is filed under the name Marmota monax (woodchuck). The record is from RNAcentral. Lineage: Eukaryota; Metazoa; Chordata; Mammalia; Rodentia; Sciuridae.